RNAcentral lists this ribosomal RNA (477 nucleotides) under uncultured bacterium. RNAcentral describes it as "partial 16S ribosomal RNA". It matches the Rfam family "Bacterial small subunit ribosomal RNA", at positions 28 to 507 of the family's 1533-position model. The record is from RNAcentral.
GAUGAACGCUGGCGGCGUGCUUAAUACAUGCAAGUCGAGCGAACAGACGAGGAGCUUGCGCCUCGGACGUGAGCGGCGGACGGGUGAGUAACACGUGGAUAACCCACCUAUAAGACGGGGAUAAUCUCGGGAAACCGGAGCUAACAGCGGAUAAUAUAUUGAAGCGCGGGGUUGAAUGGUGAAAGACGGUUUUGCCGUAGGGUAUAGAUGGAUCCGCGCCGGAUGAGGUGGUUGGUGGGGUAGCGGCUUACCAAGGCGACGAUGCGUAGGCGGCAUGAGAGGGUGAACGGACACAGGAGGACUGAGAGACGGCACAGACUGCUACGGGAGACAGCAGUGGGGAAUAUUGCACAAUGGGCGGAAGCCGGAUGCAGCAAAGACGCGUGCGGGAGGACGGCCUUCGGGUUGUAAACCGCGUUCGCCUGGGACGAAGCGAGAGUGACGGUAAAGGGUAAAGAAGCACCGGCUAACUACGUG